UUUUGUGGGGUGCUCGAGUGGCGAACGGGUGAGUAACACGUGAGUAACCCGCCCUUGACUUUGGGAUAACUUCAGGAAACUGGGGCUAAUACCGGAUAGGAGCUCCUGCUGCAUGGUGGGGGUUGGAAAGUUUCGGCGGUUGGGGAUGGACUCGCGGCUUAUCAGCUUGUUGGUGGGGUAGUGGCUUACCAAGGCUUUGACGGGUAGCCGGCCUGAGAGGGUGACCGGCCACAUUGGGACUGAGAUACGGCCCAG
Molecule: ribosomal RNA, 255 nt
Filed under: uncultured Actinomycetales bacterium
Lineage: Bacteria; Bacillati; Actinomycetota; Actinomycetes; Actinomycetales
Description: partial 16S ribosomal RNA
Rfam family: Bacterial small subunit ribosomal RNA
Source: RNAcentral